Molecule: unclassified non-coding RNA, 396 nt
Filed under: uncultured fungus
Lineage: Eukaryota; Fungi
Description: partial contains 5.8S ribosomal RNA and internal transcribed spacer 2
Rfam family: 5.8S ribosomal RNA (bases 1-133)
Source: RNAcentral
UGGCUCUCGCAUCGAUGACGAACGCAGCGAAAUGCGAUAAGUAAUGUGAAUUGCAGAAUUCAGUGAAUCAUCGAAUCUUUGAACGCAUCUUGCGCUCCUUGGUAUUCCGAGGAGCAUGCCUGUUUGAGUGUCAUUAAAUUCUCAACCUUUACCAGCUUUGCUGCUUGGUUAUAGGCUUGGAUGUGGAGGUUUUUGCAGGCCUUUUCAAAGGUCAGCUCCUCUGAAAUACAUUAGCGGUGUCUCCUUCAUGGUUAAACGACUAUUGGUGUGAUAAACUAUCUACGCUUAUGGGCAACCAUGUUCACUUGAAUGUGAAGAGGGAUUUGGCUGCUUCUAACCGUCUGAAAGGACAAACAAUGACUAUUUGACCUCAAAUCAGGUAGGACUACCCGCUGA